CUUGUACAGCUUCAUGUUGAGGCUGCUUGUUUUCUGAGCUGACAGGAAUCUGAGGCAGACUUGGUUGAAUUCACCUGCAAUCUUCUGAAAGUGUGACCAGGGUCUUAGCUACAAAGUAAGUUCUGGGUAAAAGGAAGCUUCUGAUUGAGAGUUCAAAUGCCCCUAAAGCCAAGACAGGUAAGAAAGCCCUUGGCUGCCUCCUGCGGUACAAGGAUGGGAAGAGCUAGCUGAUGUUCUGUUCUGGGGUAGCUGGAUCUUUAACCAAAUGACCACCAUCAUAUCUGCGUUAAAAAAAAAAAAGCCAGCCACACCUUUAUGCCUAGCACCCUGGAGGAAGAGGCAGGUGGAUCUCUAGGAGCUGAAGGCUAAGCUUGGUCUACAUAGUGAAUUCCCAGACAACCAGAGAGCUAUACAGGGAGACCUGCCUCAAAAAAGUGCUCCCCCCAAAAAACCCAAACACACACACACCAACUGCUGGUUUUAGGCAGGUUUGAAAUAUUUGAGGGCUCAUUUCUUGCCAUGUGUCUUACUUACAUUUAUGCCUUACAUCUGUUUUGUAAAGUCCCAAGAUAUUUCAAGUCUUAAGGCCCUGUACUGGUAUCUCAAGUUCUACCCGUAUGGAUUCAAUGUGGCAUGUUUUGCUCUUUCUCCAAAUGUUUGAAGUGGGUUUGUCUCAUUUACCUAAUGCAAUGUAACAAGUGACCUCAAAACUUUGAGGCUUAAAAUAACAGUGGGUUGUUUCUGACCGGGUGGAUCUUCUGCCUUAAGCUAGGGCGGUAAGGAUCUGAAGUCUCCUGGAAGCCUGACCCGGGUCUGGGCUGGGGUUGGAACGGCUGGAAUGCGGAUGUUUUAGGAACUGGAUGGACCUUGACUAGGAGUUGAAUCAGGACUGUCUGCUGUGGACCUUGGUUCUUCUCUUCGUGGCAACUGCAUGUGGCUUCCUGUAUCGCCUCACAGCCUAGUGGCUGGCUUCCAAGAAGGACUAUGCCAACAGUAAGCAUUCCAAGAUGGAGGAAGUGGAAGCUGCCAGAGCCAUUAAGGGUCAGCUUGGAAACUGGCCAAGUAUCACUUCCUCUGUAUUUUAUUAGUGAAAGCGCUGAGGAGCUGGCCUGCAGUUCGUGUAGGAGAGACCUGCAGAACAGCCUCUCCGAGGAAUGUGUCCAUCUGGGUCAUUCAAAUCGUAGUUGAGGAUGUUUAAAAAUAGCUGUUCUUUUGUUAUCUCAGAUAAACGAAACGUGAAAUAAAUAACCACGUGGCCCAGCAAUCUCUCUUCUGGGUAAAGGGGUCGAAAGAAAGGCCUUGAAGAUGCGUCUGCAUACCCAUGUUUAUAGCUAUGUUAUUCACCAUGGCCAAAAGGUGUAAUGGGCCUCUUUUCCAUUGGUGGGUGCAUGGCUAAACAAAAUAUGAUGCUGUCUUCAUUCUUUUGGCCUACUAUAACAAAAUAUCAGUGACUGGGUGGCUUAUAAGCAAGAGAAGUUUGUUUCUUAAUGUGAUGGAGACAAGGCAAUCUAAGAUCUAAGUACAGGUAGAUUUAGUUUCUGGUAAGAGCUCUCUUUGACUUUUCUCGUUACAGAAUUUUUACACGGUGGCAAGUGUGAGCAAUCUCUGUGUGGUAUAUUUCAAUUCUACACUUGUCCCUUGUGAUCCAUCACCUCCCAAAGUCUCUGCCUCCUAAUAUUACUAGGAUUUGUAAUAUUGGGUGCUAGGAUUUCAGCAUAUAAAUGUGUGGAGGAGACAAAUGGUCAGACCACUGUAGACCUGUGUAUACAGGGGCAUAUUGUUUAUCCUUAAAAUGAAGUGAAAUUUGUAAUGUGGAUGAGACUGGAAUGGACCUAUGUUAGGUAAAAAUAAGCUAAGGGGAAAGAAAAGAACAUUGUGUGAGUCUCUUGAUGGGCGGGCGGGGCUUAGAGCAGCCAAAUCAGCAGACAGAAAGGACAGAGGUUACUAAGGGCUGGAGGAGAAGGGAAUGGAAGUGACUGCUUUGGGUGUAGUUUCAUUUGAGGACAUAGAUAAAAAAUAUUGUAACUGAUUAAUCUGCUGAACUGUACACUUAAAAUACUUCAAUGGUGAGUGAAUUCAUUAUACAUUUCUUAUAAAUGUACACAAUAAAAACAUUGUUCUG
RNAcentral lists this long non-coding RNA (2122 nucleotides) under Mus musculus (house mouse). Its description in RNAcentral is "long non-coding RNA chr14:31929594-31931716". Lineage: Eukaryota; Metazoa; Chordata; Mammalia; Rodentia; Muridae. The record is from RNAcentral.